AAUAUUGGACAAUGGGGGCAACCCUGAUCCAGCCAUGCCGCGUGUGUGAAGAAGGNCUNNGGAUUNUNAAGCUCUGUCCUCAGNNNNNAAGAAAGUGACGGUACCUAAGGAGGAAGCCCCGGCUAACUACGUGCCAGCAGCCGCGGUAAUACGUAGGGGGCCAGCGUUGUCCGGAAUUAUUGGGCGUAAAGGGUGCGUAGGCGGCCUUUUAAGUCAGAUGUGAAAGCCCACGGCUUAACCGUGGGACUGCAUUUGAAACUGGAGGGCUUGAGUAUCGGAGAGGGUAGUGGAAUUCCCAGUGUAGCGGUGGAAUGCGUAGAUAUUGGGAGGAACACCAGUGGCGAAAGCGACUACCUGGACGAAAACUGACGCUGAGGCACGAAAGCUAGGGGAGCAAAC
This 399-nucleotide ribosomal RNA is filed under the name uncultured bacterium. RNAcentral's name for it is "partial 16S ribosomal RNA". It matches the Rfam family "Bacterial small subunit ribosomal RNA", at positions 360 to 773 of the family's 1533-position model. The record is from RNAcentral.